AUUUUGUGCCUCAACCAUCGUUUUUUAUGUCAUCUUCAAUUUUGAUUAAGGUGCCUCCACAACUCCAAGUAUAUAGCACAAUUCGAUUUGAGAUCUGCCGGAAAGAAGAAUGAGGAACAUGAAGAAGUCUUCAGUCCCCCGGUGGAUUGGAAGAAGGAAGAUGUGCAAUGUCCAANCACACAUGCGCGCACACAUACAAAUUUUGUGCCUCAACCAUCGUUUUUUAUGUCAUCUUCAAUUUUGAUUAAGGUGCCUCCACAACUCCAAGUAUAUAGCACAAUUCGAUUUGAGAUCUGCCGGAAAGAAGAAUGAGGAACAUGAAGAAGUCUUCAGUCCCCCGGUGGAUUGGAAGAAGGAAGAUGUGCAAUGUCCAACAUGAUGUUCUGAUUGUCUAGUGGGUGUAUGGAGGUGUCAGAAGAGGCUGGUGGAAAAUGCGAUGAGGAACUGACAAGAAAGAAUGCAAAGGAAGAAAGAUCCAGCUCUAACGAUCCAGCACGUUGCAAUGAAAAACCUGUUCUCUUGCGUUUAGGAAGAAUCAUAUCUGGGCUUGUUUUGAAGACCAGGCGGUGGCAAAGGAAUAAAACUUCACCUGAAUAGGACUGAUGGCGUCAAUAAGCAGGAGAAGUUAGCCUACUCUGGGUUAUUCAUUUAUAUAUCAUUGAAAAUAUUUCCAUCAUCUUUCUUGUGACUCUUCCACAGCUUUGAAGGAUUAAGCCGGUCACUAAAAACGUUUUAGAAAAGUACAACCACCUAAAAUAGUUUCCAAAUGUCUUUUAAUAAAAUGAAGAUAUAUGAUAUAUAGUGUAUAUAU
RNAcentral lists this long non-coding RNA (811 nucleotides) under Gopherus agassizii (Agassiz's desert tortoise). RNAcentral's name for it is "lncRNA (ENSGAGG00000006939.1)". Lineage: Eukaryota; Metazoa; Chordata; Testudines; Testudinidae. The record is from RNAcentral.